Molecule: long non-coding RNA, 872 nt
Organism: Octopus sinensis (East Asian common octopus)
Lineage: Eukaryota; Metazoa; Mollusca; Cephalopoda; Octopoda; Octopodidae
Exons: 3
Source: RefSeq, a predicted model, not a curated record
GCAAAAUUGUUUAAGACAUACAGAAUCUGAAAAGAAGUCAAAAGGGAAGGCAGUGGCUAUUACUGAAUUUUUCAACUCUAGAUGAACGAGGGAGAAAGGAAAUGCAAUAUUUUCAUACGGAAAACAUAUCCCGAAGGUUUGCAACAGAGUGGACUCCGCUAAAGUCACUAAUGUAACCAGGUCGUGGUGUUAAAACGAACAGCUGGUUAAAUCUCUCCCACCAAAGUAGGCUAUAGCAGAAUUAGAACUCAGAACGCAAAGAGUCGGAACAAGUGUCGCAAGGCAAAGCAUCCUGUCCAUCAUACUUACAAUUCCCCUAGUCCACCGCUUUGGGUUAAUAUUAUGUAUCAACCAAAAAUGAUCUCGACGGGACUUGAACUAAGAGUGCAGUGUCUACCAGUUCAGUAUUCAGCUGACGCAGAAAUAUUGUGAUGGCAAAUAUUCUGCUCAAUACCACAGAUAUGCUUGUCACCACGAUAUCCCUUAGUGGCUGACAAUACGUGCAUCUCUAAUCGUGAGUAGGAGUAGUGAGGGAACAUCAUGGCCAUGUGUUGAGAUGGAUUCUUUUGGGUUUAAAUAAAUGUAACAAAAGCAAAGCUUGAAAGAAAUAUUUUUUAAAACUUUCUAGGGGUAACCAAAUAGGAAAUAGCAGUUACUACACAAGGAUAAAAAUCGUCUUACACAGUGUUAUCAAUGUAUGGAAUAGUUUACCAUUUCCAAAAGACGGGAGAGAUGCAAUUUCACUGGACAAGAGAAAAGGUACCAGAUUAAACAGUAGUAACUUUCAUGGUAUUUUCUUUCUUGUAACUGAUGGAAAGAUAUUUACUAUCUACAUACGUAAGCUUCAUCGCUGUCGUAGUGGAUUUAGAUUA